UUUUGCUUUUCGUUUUCGGUGCACUCGGGUGUACUAUCCAUUAUGUGCAUAUGUACUUGAUGAUUACGACCAUUACGAUCCCCAGGAUCAUAUGAUGCACAUGUGUAUCUUUGUCUGAGGCCAUGUCAUUAUGAGCAUUGAGGCUCCCCCUUCAGGCUCGCAAUAAUAGUGAUCCCCGAAAGCGCACCGCGUCUCAUCCUUCAUCUGGCUGGGGAAUUGUCAACAUGAGCCAAGAACUGGGCAAGAGCAUCGAGCUGCCCCAAUGGACGGGGAUCGUGUUCCGCGACAUCCAGGGGGCCAAGAUCUUGGCCAUGGACAUUGGUGGCUCUCUCACCAAGAUUGCCGUGUAUUCGACCAUCUCGCACAAGAAGAUCAUCUAUGAUCCAAGGGCUCGCCAACAGACCGCAUCCCAGGAUGGCAGUAAGAAGGUCCAGAUCGAGAUCGAGGGCGAUGCCAUGUACGCCGUGUCGGAAGGGGCACGCCUUCAUUUCAUCAAGUUCGAGACGAAGCACAUUGAUUACUGGCUGGCUUACAUUCACGAAUGUCUGUCCGUGAAUAAGAGCGAGUUUCAGCAGAAGAGUAUCAAGGUCACGGGCGGAGGGGCCUAUAAAUACUCGGAGAGGAUCAAGGAGAUGGUCGGAUUGCCCAUUGACAAGUGUGAUGAGAUGCGAUGCAUCGUGCGGGGAUGCAAUUUCCUGCUCAGGAACAUCUCGGAUGAGUCGUUCAUCUACCAGAGAAAAGGCCAUCCCGAGUUUGUCUUUCAAACCAUCGACCCUCGGAGCAUGUUCCCGUACCUGUUGGUGACCAUUGGCUCUGGCGUGUCGAUCAUCAAGGUGACAGGGGACAACGAUUUUGAACGCAUCGGAGGCACGGCCACGGGGGGUGGCACUUUUUGGGCCCUAGGACGACUCCUGACCCAAGUGGAGGGCUUUGACGAACUCUUGGCAUUGGCGUCCGAAGGCGACCACCGCAAGGUGGACAUGCUGGUGAAAGACAUCUAUGGCGAUCGUCAGGACUACCAAUCCUUGGGACUACCCGCGGAUUUGAUUGCUUCUAGCAUGGGUAAAGCUAUUCAGAGUGAGAGCGACUGGAAAAAGUUCUCCAAGGCGGACAUUGCCCGGAGUUUGUUGUACAUGAUCAGUAACGAUAUCGGACAGAUUUCGAGCUUGUACGCUAUGCUGCACGAAAUCAAGACCAUCUACUUUGGUGGGUUCUUCCUUCGCCACCACCCGGUGAGCAUGCAUACGGUCAGGUACUCGGUCAACUACUGGACCAAGGGCAAAGUCCAGGCCCGAUUCCUUCGUCACGAAGGUUAUCUGGGCGCCAUUGGGGCCUUCUUGAAAGGCGCUCAAACGAUUCACGCCGAGGACUAUUCAUGGUUGGAGAACCUGUACGGGAGCACGGGCUUUAGUUCGCCCCAAAAUCCAGUGGCGCCCAAUUUCGAACUGGACCAUCUGGAGAUUGAUCGCUUCGAAAAGAAGCUGCGAUUCUGCCCACUUCUGCAGGACCCGCUGACCUACAGUCCGGACACGGUGGACUUGACCCGAGACAAUGAUGCCCGGGAGUACUGGCUUCAGUGUCUGCAGGACUCGUUGCCCAAGUUCACGGAAAGGGCCAUCAAAAGCCAGGAUAACUCGUCCAACGUGCAAGAUCGAGCGAGGAAGUUCCAGGAUCAAUUUCUGACCCGGCUCAACCAAUUCAAACACAACCCUUUUGCUUACGGCAAUCUCACGGUCCGGGGGCUACUGGACCUGCGGGAACAUUGCCUGGCAGAGUUUGAUUUCUAUGAUCCAUAUAGGAGACAGAAACAAUUUGAGAAUGAUCAAGCCUUUGACCUUCUCCCCGAUCUGCUCCAGGAAUUGAGUCGAUUGGAUUGGGAAGAGCGUCAAAAAAGGCUAGCCAUCGGCGUUCUGGCUGGCAACGUCUUCGACUGGGGGGCCAAAGAGGUGGCUCUCAUCAUGGAAGACACAGGGCUGGACUUCAAGACCGCCUUGGGUAUGAUCGGACCUCGACCAUGGCUAGUGGACUGCUUGGAUGCGUGGAUUGAAAGGUUGAGAAAUGGCUCCCAUCACAAAUGUGCCGCUAUUUUCAUCGACAACAGCGGAGUCGAUGUCAUCCUGGGUAUUCUCCCAUUCGUCCAAGAACUCCUGAGUCGCGGAAGUGAGGUUUUACUCUGUGCCAAUAAUAAACCCGUCCUUAACGAUGUCACCUACGGAGAGCUAUUAAUCAUUCUGCAACGGGCAGCCAAAGUGAGUGAUGUGAUUGCCCAAGCCCUGGAGAGUAACCAACUGAUCUGUCUGGAUUCCGGACAAGGCUCACCCUGCUUGGAUUUAACGAAACUGAACAAAACCGUGGUGGAUGUGAUGUUGGAAAAGCAAGUGGAUUUGCUUGUGCUCGAAGGCAUGGGGAGAGCGGUGCACACCAAUUUGUACACGUGCUUUAAUUGCGAAUGCCUCAAGAUUGCGGUGCUCAAAAAUCGGUGGCUGGCCGAACGAUUGGGCGGAGAAAUGUACGCCGUGAUAUUCAAGUUCGAAAAACCCGCCAAUCCACUGGAUCAACUAGUAGUAGGUCAAGCAACAAACGGAGAGGCGGCGGCGGAGGCGGCGGCGGAGGCGGCAAAAUGAAUCUGAUCAAUUGGCAUACCUGAAAUCCUUGGGUUUUGUCCGAUAAUGGCCGAAGCAAUAAUCUUGAUUGUAUCUGAGUCGACAAACAGGGUAAAUUUAAAAUGUCAUUCAUUUUUGACCGUGGAUUCGAUGAAAUAUGAUUUUUGCAUCAACACGAGUUCAUGAGGAUUGACACCCAGAAAAUGAGUGUCAGCCCAGAAAACUAAUCCGUCGAUGGAUCGACCUUGUCCCUGGCUGAGCGAAACUUUACAGAGCGCUGGAAGGUGGGUAUGAGCCAAUAAUGAAUGAGACCAAGCAAAAGCAGAGCAAAACCGACUGGACGGCCAACAACCAGAGUAUCACAAUUGUCAAACCACCUGUGUCGACAACAAACGGACGGGACUUUCUCUCUACACCGCAAAUCAAGCACCCCUGCCACGGCGUCCUCUCUGCCCAAGACAGCCCUGCUAGCCUAUGAGAUGGAGGAGUACCAACA
Molecule: RNA transcript, 3099 nt
Organism: Tigriopus californicus
Lineage: Eukaryota; Metazoa; Arthropoda; Copepoda; Harpacticoida; Harpacticidae
Gene name: 4'-phosphopantetheine phosphatase-like
Exons: 3
Source: RefSeq, a predicted model, not a curated record